CCUACGGGAGGCAGCAGUGAGGAAUAUUGGUCAAUGGCCGGGAGGCUGAACCAGCCAAGUCGCGUGAGGGAAGACGGCCCUACGGGUUGUAAACCUCUUUUGUCAGGGAGCAAGGUGCAGGUCGGGACCUGCUGUGAGAGUACCUGAAGAAAAAGCAUCGGCUAACUCCGUGCCAGCAGCCGCGGUAAUACGGAGGAUGCGAGCGUUAUCCGGAUUUAUUGGGUUUAAAGGGUGCGCAGGCGGAGGCACAAGUCAGCGGUAAAAUUGCGGGGCUCAACCCCGAACCGCCGUUGAAACUGUGUCCCUUGAGUGCGCGAAGGGUAGGCGGAAUGCGUGGUGUAGCGGUGAAAUGCGUAGAUAUUAGGAGGAACACCAGUGGCGAAGGCGGCUUGCUGGGCUUUUACUGACGCUGAGGCUCGAAAGCGUGGGGAGCAAACAGGAUUAGAUACCCGAGUAGUC
This 459-nucleotide ribosomal RNA is filed under the name uncultured bacterium. RNAcentral's name for it is "partial 16S ribosomal RNA". It matches the Rfam family "Bacterial small subunit ribosomal RNA", at positions 338 to 795 of the family's 1533-position model. The record is from RNAcentral.